UCAAAGUAGUCCUUCAAAUUUUUAAAAUAUUUCAACGUGAUCCUACUAUUCACUUACCAACUAAUGGUAUUGGUUUUUUAUUUUAAUAGAUGAAAAUGCCCUUUGCUCAUAUUAGAUAGAUUAUCGGAAAGAAAAAGAUGGAGGUGGAGGGAGUUACCAUCGAAGGGGAGGAUAGGACUAUAGAAGUUGAUGUGGAAAGGAAGGACGGCAUCAAACACUCCUAGGUGGGAUUGGAGGAGGAGAAAGAGGAGGAGAAGGAGAAGGAGAAGGAGUUAGGAGGAAGAGGAUGGGGAAGGAGGGAAAGUACUCAUAGGUGAGCUUAGAGGAGGAGGAAGAUAAUGAGGAGCAGUGGAUAAGGAGAAGGGAGAAAGAGGGGUUGUUGGCAAGAAAGGUGGAGGUGAAGGAGGAGGAGAUGGGAAGGAGAGAUGGGCAGGCUUGGAGGAGGAAAAAGAGAAGUGGGAGAAGAAGGGGAGGAAGAAGAGGAGCAGGAAAGGUUCGUUGACAAGAUGGAUAGAGAUGGAGGGAGAGGACUUACAAGCGGACUUGGAGG
RNAcentral lists this long non-coding RNA (550 nucleotides) under Elaeis guineensis (African oil palm). Its description in RNAcentral is "long non-coding RNA (EGUI_LNC025797)". The record is from RNAcentral. Lineage: Eukaryota; Viridiplantae; Streptophyta; Magnoliopsida; Arecales; Arecaceae.